CGAAACCAGGUGAUCUACCCAUGUCCAGGAUGAAGGUAAGGUAAUACUUACUGGAGGUCCGAACCCACGCACGUUGAAAAGUGCGGGGAUGAGGUGUGGGUAGCGGAGAAAUUCCAAUCGAACUUGGAGAUAGCUGGUUCUCUCCGAAAUAGCUUUAGGGCUAGCCUCGAGGUAAAGAGUCAUGGAGGUAGAGCACUGUUUGGACUAGGGGCCCUUCUCGGGUUACCGAAUUCAGAUAAACUCCGAAUGCCAUGUACUUAUACUCGGGAGUCAGACUGCGAGUGAUAAGAUCCGUAGUCGAAAGGGAAACAGCCCAGACCACCAGUUAAGGUCCCCAAAUAUAUGUUAAGUGGAAAAGGAUGUGGGGUUGCUUAGACAACCAGGAUGUUGGCUUAGAAGCAGCCACCAUUGAAAGAGUGCGUAAUAGCUCACUGGUCGAGUGACCCCGCGCCGAAAAUGUACCGGGGCUAAACAUA
RNAcentral lists this ribosomal RNA (476 nucleotides) under Listeria monocytogenes. RNAcentral's name for it is "partial 23S ribosomal RNA". It matches the Rfam family "Bacterial large subunit ribosomal RNA", at positions 716 to 1190 of the family's 2925-position model. Lineage: Bacteria; Bacillati; Bacillota; Bacilli; Caryophanales; Listeriaceae. The record is from RNAcentral.